This 253-nucleotide ribosomal RNA is filed under the name uncultured bacterium. RNAcentral's name for it is "partial 16S ribosomal RNA". It matches the Rfam family "Bacterial small subunit ribosomal RNA", at positions 524 to 776 of the family's 1533-position model. The record is from RNAcentral.
UACGGGGGGAGCAAGCGUUAUCCGGAAUUAUUGGGCGUAAAGAGCUCGUAGGCGGUUUGUCGCGUCUGCUGUGAAAAUCCGGGGCUCAACCCCGGACUUGCAGUGGGUACGGGCAGACUAGAGUGUGGUAGGGGAGACUGGAAUUCCUGGUGUAGCGGUGAAAUGCGCAGAUAUCAGGAGGAACACCGAUGGCGAAGGCAGAUCUCUGGGCCACUACUGACGCUGAGAAGCGAAAGCAUGGGGAGCGAACAGG